GGCGGGGUGCCGGAGCGGUCGAACGGGGCGGUCUUGAAAACCGUUGAGGGCUUGCGCCCUCCCUGGGUUCGAAUCCCAGCCCCGCCG
Molecule: transfer RNA, 87 nt
Filed under: Actinomycetota bacterium
Lineage: Bacteria; Bacillati; Actinomycetota
Description: tRNA-Ser
Rfam family: tRNA
About the family: Transfer RNA (tRNA) molecules are approximately 80 nucleotides in length. Their secondary structure includes four short double-helical elements and three loops (D, anti-codon, and T loops). Further hydrogen bonds mediate the characteristic L-shaped molecular structure. tRNAs have two regions of fundamental functional importance: the anti-codon, which is responsible for specific mRNA codon recognition, and the 3' end, to which the tRNAs corresponding amino acid is attached (by aminoacyl-tRNA synthetases). tRNAs cope with the degeneracy of the genetic code in two manners: having more than one tRNA (with a specific anti-codon) for a particular amino acid; and 'wobble' base-pairing, i.e. permitting non-standard base-pairing at the 3rd anti-codon position.
Source: RNAcentral